RNAcentral lists this unclassified non-coding RNA (362 nucleotides) under uncultured bacterium. Its description in RNAcentral is "contains 16S-23S intergenic spacer region". The record is from RNAcentral.
UCCGGUUUGAAACCGGCGGUCCCGCUAGACAUGGUAACUAACGGCGAGGGUUGCGCUCGUUGCGGGACUUAACCCAACACCUCACGGCGCGAGCUGACGACAGCCAUGCAGCAUCUGCGCACGCUCCCUUGCGGGUCCUUCCCCUUUCGGGGUCGUACCACGUGCAUGUCAAGCCCAGGUAAGGUUCUUCGCGUUGCGUCGAAUUAAACCACACGCUCCGCUGCUUGUGCGGGCCCCCGUCAAUUCCUUUGAGUUUUAACCUUGCGGCCGUACUCCCCAGGCGGUCAACUUUACGCGUUAGCUACGGUACCAAGGAAUCGCUUCCCCAACACCCAGUUGACAUCGUUUAGGGCGUGGACUAC